UACGUAGGGGGCAAGCGUUGUCCGGAAUCAUUGGGCGUAAAGAGCGUGUAGGCGGCCCGAUAAGUCCGCCGUGAAAGUCCAGGGCUCAACCCUGGAAUGCCGGUGGAAACUGUCGGGCUGGAGUCCGGAAGAGGCGAGUGGAAUUCCUGGUGUAGCGGUGAAAUGCGCAGAUAUCAGGAGGAACACCAAUGGCGAAGGCAGCUCGCUGGGACGUUACUGACGCUAAGGCGCGAAAGCGUGGGGAGCGAACAGG
This 253-nucleotide ribosomal RNA is filed under the name uncultured bacterium. RNAcentral's name for it is "partial 16S ribosomal RNA". It matches the Rfam family "Bacterial small subunit ribosomal RNA", at positions 524 to 776 of the family's 1533-position model. The record is from RNAcentral.